RNAcentral lists this long non-coding RNA (322 nucleotides) under Vigna radiata. Its description in RNAcentral is "long non-coding RNA (VRAD_LNC011705)". Lineage: Eukaryota; Viridiplantae; Streptophyta; Magnoliopsida; Fabales; Fabaceae. The record is from RNAcentral.
GCAAAAGGAGGGUCUGUUUUUGUUUGAUGGGCUGCACCGAAAAGCCAUUGAGUAAGAAGAGUAGACUAGGUCAGUAGGAGAUGUUGGGACGUGUUGGUAGCUGAUUAUUAGGUAGGUUCUUUUCUUUUAUUUCCUUUAGAAUGAAAAAGAAAGUAUGGUGAUUAGGUAGAAGAUAGUUGUUUCACGGCCUGAUGAUGGAUUCACAUUGGGAAGCACACGGUGAUGGAAUGCUUUUGGAGUUUUAAUCUAUUGAAGGAAAAUGAGUUGGCACGUCACGAGGGAGAAGCACCAAAAAGGGUUUUCUUUUAUUGUAUGCAUACUU